RNAcentral lists this ribosomal RNA (253 nucleotides) under uncultured bacterium. RNAcentral describes it as "partial 16S ribosomal RNA". It matches the Rfam family "Bacterial small subunit ribosomal RNA", at positions 524 to 776 of the family's 1533-position model. The record is from RNAcentral.
GACGAAGGGGGCAAGCGUUGUUCGGAAUUACUGGGCGUAAAGGGCGCGUAGGCGGUUCUUUAAGUCAGGCGUGAAAGCCCUGGGCUCAACCUGGGAGUGGCGCUUGAUACUGGAGGACUAGAGAGUGGGAGAGGUUGGUGGAAUUCCCAGUGUAGAGGUGAAAUUCGUAGAUAUUGGGAAGAACACCGAUGGCGAAGGCAGCCCCCUGGGUCAACACUGACGCUCAUGCACGAAAGCGUGGGGAGCAAACAGG